This 253-nucleotide ribosomal RNA is filed under the name uncultured bacterium. RNAcentral describes it as "partial 16S ribosomal RNA". It matches the Rfam family "Bacterial small subunit ribosomal RNA", at positions 524 to 776 of the family's 1533-position model. The record is from RNAcentral.
UACGUAGGGGGCCAGCGUUGUCCGAAGUUACUGGGCGUAAAGAGCGCGUAGGCGGGUCUUUAAGUGAGAGGUGAAAUUCUGAGGCUCAACCUCGGAACUGCCUUUCAUACUGGGGACCUUGAGUGCGGGAGAGGCGAGUGGAAUGGUCGGUGUAGCGGUGAGAUGCGUAGAUAUCGAUCGGAACACCCAUGGCGAAGGCAGCUCGCUGGCCUGCAACUGACGCUGAGGCGCGAAAGCCGGGGGAGCAAACAGG